GCGCACACACACACACACACGCACACACACACAGGGUGGAGCUGCAAUAGAAUUGUUCAGGGGAGGAGGCAGAGACAAGAAAAUUUUUGAAUUUUUUUUAAAGUCUCUUUAUCGAGUGAGAAAGAUAUUAUUUAGAAAGUUUAAACAUUAACACAAGAAAAAAAGAGCAAUAAUUCCGAACAGGGAAAAAAGACAAGCCUUCUGAAUAAAGUCGAAACUGCUGUAGGACUGUUAGAAUUUACUGAAGUCAACAGGGAGUAUUUAUACAGAAGAAAGGUGCGAUAUAAUCUACAGGUAAACAGAAGACGUCCGCAGAAACAGACCUGGUGGUCAGCUGGUGGCUCGGGUGAGUUUAUUAUAAAAAUCUAAAUCACAGAAGAAGAAACGGUCACGGAAUGUCCGUGUUCGGUCCAUGUUCAUCCAAACAGGACAGAAAGAAUUUCUAGGACAAAACAAAGUAUAUCAUGGUCAGAAGAUGAGCUCACACAGUCAGGCAUAACAUUAUGACCACCUGCUUAAUAUUGUGUUGUUGCUGCCAAAACAGUCCUGACCCGUCCUGCACUGUGUAUUCUGACCCCUUUCUGUCAGAACCAGCAUUAACAAUUUGAUCAACAGUAGCUCGUCUGUUGGAUCGGAUCACACGGGCCAGCCUUCUCUCCCCACGUGCAUCAAUGAGCCUUGACCGCCCAUGACCCUGUCUCCAGUUCACCACUGUUUCUUCCUUGGACCACUUUUGAUAGAUACUGACCACUGCAGACCAGGAACACCCCACAAGAGCUGCAGUUUUGGAGAUGCUCUGAUCCAGUGGUCUAGCCAUCACAAUUUGGUCCUUUUGGUCAAACUCCCUCAAAUCCUUACGCUUGUCCAUUUUUCCUGCUUCUAACAUCAACUUUGAGGACAAAAUGUUGACUUGCUGCCUAAUAUAUCCCACCGAGACUCUCCUGAACACCAGUGUCCUGACAGAUGUGAGGAGGAACACGUGUCUGCAGUAAAGCUCCUGCUUCACUCAAACUAAUCAUUCUUCCACAGCCUUGCAGCAAAGGAUUCCUCAUGAUGAAGAACUCUAACAGGAACCUGUCUGCCAAACUUCUCACCCAAGAAGCUCUUCACCUCUCCUAGAGUUUAAUACACGUGCAGGUUUGAUGAAGGACCUGAGAAGCUCUCUGAGACAUGUCUCAAGGUUUCUUGACAGCCAGCUUACAUUCUCAGUGCUGCUUCUACACUAAACUCAGGUCCUGCGGGCGUUCCUGUGUGCCGGUGUGUUUGUGGUUUUCCACGCCGAUCGAGUACGGAUGAAGAAGGGUAAGGCCUUUUCCUGUUUCUGACUGGAAUGACAGGAAGCUCAGGCCAGUGGAUUUACUCACUGAGGAAAUUGUUGAAAAGCCACAGCAGCGUUCCGAAACUCUCCGCUCUGCUGCCUAGGGUUCAUCUCACAAGAGCGUUCCCGUUUCUGGCUCCCGGAGUUUCCUGAGGGACAGAGAGAGGGAGAGAGAGAGAGAGGGAGAAAGACAGAGGGCAGAGAUGGAGAGAGAGGUUUCCAGAACGGUGUGAGUUCUCCAACUUUCUCUCUAAUGAGCCUGAAAAAACGUCCAUAAAUGUCGACACAAGUCUGGAAAUUUCCCACAUGUUAAAACAUUAAAAACAGGCAGAGAGUUCCCGCCUCUUCCAGUCAGACUGACCCAGGCCUUUAACUUGGUCAGGAAAGCACAGAGGCCACACCUCUACAUUCACAGAAACCACACCUAUUUCACCGCUACUGAAACCAAGAGACCACACCCCCUUUACUACUAAUGAAGCACAGACACCACACCUCCUUUACUGCACCUGAAGCACAGAGGCCACAACUCCUUUACUGUUACUGAGGCAUGGAGACCACACCUCCUUUUUUACUAAUGAAGCACAAAGACCACACCUCUUUUCUGUUAAUGACGCACACAGACCACGCCUCUUUCACCCCCAUUAGUGCUACUGAAGCACAGAGACCACACCUCCUUUACUGUUACUGAAGCACAGAGGCCACUCCUCCUUUACUGUUACUGAGGCACAGAGGCCACUCCUCCUUUACUGUUACUGAGGCACAGAGGCCACUCCUCCUUUACUGUUACUGAGGCACAGAGGCCACUCCUCCUUUACUGUUACUGAGGCACAGAGGCCACACCUCCUUUACUGUUACUAAAGCCCAGAGGCCACACCUCCUUUACUGUUACUGAGGCACAGAGGCCACACCCCCAUUAGUGCUACUAAAGCACAGAGGCCACACCUCCUUUACUGUUACUGAGGCACAGAGGCCAUGCCUAUUUCACUGCUACUGAAACUCCGAGACGACACCUCCUUUACUGCUAAUGAAGCACAAAGGCCACACCCCCAUUAGUGCUACUAAAGCACAGAGGCUUCACCCACAUUAGUGCUACUGAGGCACAGAGGCCACACCUUCUUUACUGCUACAAUAUUUUAAAUAUUGCUACUAUAUUUUAAAUGUAAUUAAGCGACAGAUGUUUAACUUCACAAAUGAAAUUGAACCUGAUGUUCACGUGGAAGUGAAUAUAAGGCUUUAACUUUUCCUCAGUUGGCCUUAAUCUGCUCUCAGACAGUAGGAAAUGACUCUCAUAGUUUUAUUUCACAACAUGACGGUUUGAGCUCUGAGCACAUUUCUGUGUAAUGCAAAACAAAGCAGGACUCAGUGACUCACUUCAGCUCUGAGGUCUAGAACCUGUGAGUUGUACGGUUCUGCACUUUCAGAGUUCCCCAGACACCUAAAGGACUGAAGGAGUCUCACAUGCUCAGUAAUGUUGUUUACAUUUCCUAAUUACAUAAUUAUGGGCUCUUAGCUUCCUAAAUGGGUGUUUACUUGGAGUCUUAGAGAAACACUCUGGUUACUCUGGUGAGAAGGUUACCUUCUCUUCAGAGUAUAAAUAGUGCACUCAGAGGUCAAAGGUUAUGAGACUGCACCAGGUGGCAGGUUAUAGCAGGGGCACAUAAACCCUACAGGUCAGGUAGGGGUCAAUGUGAGAAUGUUUUAAAUGAUACAGUAGUGUGAAAGUCUCAGAGACUGAGAUCUCCAGCUGAGACAGUGACACAGAAAGUUCAGGAAGUCCCGCCCACUAAGAGUGGUUUGAUGAUGUCAUCAGCGUGAGUCAUGCAGUCUUACGGAAAGACACUAAAACACAGUGCAGUGUGCAGCAGCUUGUUUUUUUCUGUUAAAGCCAACGUUAUUUCACACGUAAACUCUGGACUCAGACGAAAUAAAAAAUCCGAAUCACGAAUCCUAGCAAUAAACGCACAGUGGAAAAUACAGACAGGCGGAGUAUUAGGAGGGGGCGGAGUCAGUAUUCAUAGAUUCUGAGAAAUUCAACUCCUAGUUUUGAACAGGCUUGAUGAAAGUUCUGUGAUCUGUUCCUGUUCUGGUCCACACAGAACAUCUCUUUGUUUCCUGAGAAGUUUUCCAUAGAAUUUGCAUUUCAGCUUUGUGCUAUUUGCGUAACGUCACCUGAUGGAGGAACGCUGUUGGUGGUGCUGCGGGAUGCUGCAUUAAAGUGUUCCUCUUAUAUAGCGUCCUUAAUGUAAAGUCACGCAGCAAAGAGUUCUACACGAGGCCUGGAUUUCCAUCAGACAGCUGAAACAAAGAAAACAAAGAAAACAAACACCAAUCAUCAUUUAUUUUCUCAUUAAGUCUUUACUAACAAUCUAAUUGGCUCUUUUAAUUGAGGGGGUGGAGCUUAUAUUACCCAGGUGUCAUGUUGAGCAUUUUUACACCUUCACAAUUAUAUUUGGAUGGAUGGAUGGAUGGAAGGAUUGAUGGAUGGGUGGAUGGAUGGAUGGAGGUCUUUGGAAGCUAGACGGAUGGAUGGAUGGAUGCCCAGAUUAAUGGAUUGGCUCUUGUAAUCAAAGGGGUGGAGCUUAUAUAACUCAGGCACCAUGUUGGGCAUUUUUUCACUUCCACUAUUAUAUUUCAACCUGUGAGCUGUCUUUACUUUAUACUCUCUGUCUCUUGAGUUCAGUAUCAAUUAAUCAAUUAAUUAAUUUAUAAGAAAAUUAGGAAAAUGAAAAGAGAAAAGUACAGAAUGCCAUUUAGUCCAAAUGUAAUAAAUAUCUAAAUGAAUAAAUUAAGUAAGUCAUUAUUCUAAAACAUUUCAUCCUGCUUGUCUUCAGAAUAACCGUCACAUUUAUUUUUUUUAUAUUUCAUAAAGCCAUAUUUUAUUGUUGAAUGUUUUUCUUAUAUUUUUAAGAUGAUGCACAUAUUUCAGAACAAUACAUUUAUUUCCUAGUGUUAGAUCUGGGCUGAGAAAGUAAUGGUGAGAGGCGUGUGCUCACCAUCUGUGUUAAUUUAGUAAACCGCAGAGUCUAAAGUUCAUUUAGCUGAGGAGAGCUGAAUAAACAGAGCGACGUGCUGAAGCAGUAAUUAAGGCCUUUGUUUAUGGUGAAGAUAACCAAUAAAACUGCGUGAGCUCCAUUCUGCUGUCAAAUCCAGACUGUGCUUAAUGUUGGAUUUACACAUCAGGGUGUAUUUUCUUUAAACAUCUCUCUAACGUUCUCUCUAACGUCUUGAGAGAUAAAUCACAGACCGGAUAGUGAAUGUAAAUAAAUACAAAACACAGGAUGCUGUUCAAAGUCCGGUCUGUUCAUAUCCUGCUGUUUUAACACCCGCCGAGCUCCACCUUUUAAACCAAUAACAAACUAGCGAGCUGAUCGUGCAGAACCCACAAUUAUACACAGAAACCACCAGAGAGAGCAAGACUGUUAUCUAAACCAACACGCUAUAAUCCGUUUAUAGUUACGUUUAAUGUUCAUACCUGUGGAACAAGACAAAAAUCCAGCCGUCAUGUUACAGAGAUCCCACAAAAAAUAUACAAACUCCUCUGUCAUGAUGGAGAUGUCGGAAAUCUUAAGUUUCAUCUCUGAGCGUUACAAAGUCCUGACACUGGAGACUCCUUCCACACGUCAUAAAGAAGCUUCUUACACUCACAGAUCUUCUGACUGUUUUUAAACUGUCUAUGAGUACAACAUCAGCUGUACACCUCCAUGCGAAUGAGCCGUUACUAUGGAAACGAUAUUAUAAUUAGAGCAAUAAUACUGUCAGAGCCGCAGUUAUGGUAAUUUAAUCAACACCUUUUUACCUAUCAGAAUGCAGAAUUCUGUAAUUAUGUCACUAACGAUCAAAAACAAAUUCGAAUUUUGUGUGGAUGUGUCACUUUCCUUGCUUUGCUAUCUUCAUUUCUUAUUCUGUGUGUCAUUCCAGAGUUUUCUUUACCUGGACGUGACGCAGAAGUGCAUGUGUGUGUGUGUGUGCGUGUGUGUGUGUGUGUGUGUGUAUGUGUGUGUGUGUGUAUGUGUGUUUAUACAGCUGCCGUCCUGCCUCGAGAGCCGCCAGUCCAAAGUGCCCAUGCUGUGUGCUGUCUGUCUCUGACUGAUGGCCUCACCAUCACACCCAGUGUGUCCUAAUGCCACGCUCUGGUCACUGUAUCAACAGGAAAUGCAUGUGUGAGCGUUUUCCUGUUUCUGGAGUGACUUUCCUCCCAGUUAGAAUGUACCAAAAAUAACAAGCCCACUUCCUUUCCCUCCAUCUAGUCUGAGUAAAACUGCAUUCCUCGAUGCUUCGCAAGCAGUUUGGCCAGCAGUGAGUGACAAAACAUGCGAGAGCUCAGCCAGCUGAGGGACAUGUGGGUUACACCAGGACAGAGACACACCUAUUUCAUCAUAUCCAUGUGGUGAGAGGAGAGGAAUCGAAAGGAUAACAAAAAUAAGUCCUGGUAUUGGUGGAAGAAAUGAAGAACAGGAUGAGUUUCUAUGUACUCACACCGUGUUAUUAUUUAUCAUCAAAGAACAUCAUGGAAAUCUCUAUGAAUAGAACUGACAGCUGGAUGGAUGAAUAGAUAGAUGGAUGGAUGGAUGGAUGGAUGGAUGGAUGGAAGGAUGGAUGGGAGCCUUUGGAAGCUAGAUUGCUGGAUGGAUGGAUGGAUUGAUGGCGGAUGGAUGGAUGGAGGUCUUUGGAAGCUAGAUGGAUGGAUGGAUGGAUGAAUGGAAGGAUGGAUGGAUGGGGGCCUUUGGAAGCUAGAUUGCUGGAUGGAUGGAUGGCGUAUGGACGGAUAGAUGGAUGGAUGGAUGGAGGUCUUUGGAAGCUGGAUGGAUGGAACUCACACAGUGUUAUUAUUUAUCUUAGAUGGAGGGAUGGAUGGAUGGAUAGAUGAAUGGAUGGAGGUCUUUGGAAGCUAAAUGGAUGGAUG
Hemibagrus wyckioides is the source of this 6221-nucleotide long non-coding RNA. RefSeq lists it as uncharacterized. The transcript is spliced from 3 exons. Lineage: Eukaryota; Metazoa; Chordata; Actinopteri; Siluriformes; Bagridae. The record is from RefSeq and is a predicted model, not a curated record.